Molecule: ribosomal RNA, 406 nt
Filed under: uncultured bacterium
Lineage: Bacteria
Description: partial 16S ribosomal RNA
Rfam family: Bacterial small subunit ribosomal RNA
Source: RNAcentral
AUUGAACGCUGGCGGCAGGCCUAACACAUGCAAGUCGAACGAGCGGCGGACAGGUGAGAAAUGUCUGGGAGACUCCCUGCUGGAGGGGGAUAACUACUUUAAACGGUAGCUAAUAACGCAUACCAUCAGAUGUGCCCAGAUGGGAGUAGCUAGUAGGUGGGGUAACGGCUCACCUAGGAGACGAUCCCUAGCUGGUCUGAGAGGAUGACCAGCCACACUGGAACGGAGACACGGUCCAGAAUCCGACGGGAGGCAGCAGUGGGGAAUAUUGCACAAGGGGCGCAAGCCUGAUGCAGCCAUGCCGCGUGUGUGAAGAAGGCCUUCGGGUUGUAAAGCACUUUCAGCGGGGAGGCGUUACCCGCAGAAGAAGCACCGGAUAACUCCGUGCCAGCAGCCGCGGUAAUUC